AUCAUUCAGGAAGAAGAAAUUACAUGAGGAGAACUUUCUAAUCAGUAUGCUUAGUGAUCUUGAGAUGACAUCAUACUGGAUGAUCCUAGUGCACCCUAAAUCCAAUAAGUGUUCUUAUGAAAGACAGAAGAGGAGAAGAUACAGAAAAUAGAAGGCUAUUUGAGGAUGGAAGCAGAGCUUGGAGUUAUGCAGCUACAAACCAAAGAAUGCCUUGAACCACCAGCAGCUGAAAGAGCUAGUCAGCAAUACAACUAGGAUUUGAUAUCAGAUUCAUACAAUUCCGAAGACCCUGACCACUAAAUGCAAAAGGUACAUGGCAACAGCUGAUUGCAAUGAGAGAAAAACAACUAAUAAGGCAACAAGCAGGAUACUAAGAUAUUUUCCAAAAUGAAUAGCACUGAUUCUGUGAGGAAUGAACAUUGCCAAACAAGUGUUUUGUUUUGUUUUUCAACUCCUCUAAAAAAUUCACAUAUAUGCAUGCCACUUUCCUGAAAAAUAUCUGCUUCAUAAUUGCCAUAAGAAACUGUAUGGACAACUCUUAAACAUUCUGAAAGUAGUCAGGGAUGGGGGAAAGCAUUUGCUGUUUUAGUCUGUUCCUGGUCUUAUAAUAAAUAUCACAGACUGGGUAAUUUAUGAUUAUAGAAAUGUAUUUCUGAAAGUUCAGGAGUUGGGAAGUUCAAGAUUAUGGCACCAACAUAUUCAUUGUCUGAUGAGGGCCUGUUUCAUAGAUGUCAUUUUGCAUGACUUAAUCAUAUGGUAGGAAAAGCAAAGGGACAAAAUGGACAAAUGCCAUGUUGUCACAUGGCAGAAGAAAUGGAAGAGCCAGGAAGCUCUCAGAAGCUUCCUUUAUUAGGAUAUUAAUCUCAUUCAUGAGUGCACAGCCAUUAUGACUUAAUUGCCUCCAAAGGCCCCACUUCCUCAUCACUUUGAGGAUUAAACUUAAACAUGAAUUUGGAGGAAAUAUAUUCAAACUCUAGGACUAGUUUAAAUGUAGCUAAAAAGGUUUCUUCAUUCUGUAAUCGUUAAUAUGCUAAUAUUUUUGUAAAUAUCCAAGAGGAAGCUAAAGCAUAUAAUAUUCCAAAAUUUAUUUGUUUGUGGAUAUUAUGUUUUCCUCUCAUUCAAUCUCAAGAAAUUAGUGUCCUCAAGAAACACUAUAUAGGAUAAUUGUCUUUCAAGUUCAUCAACUACCGGUUCUUGAUUCUUCAGUAGCUAAUCCUAGAUAGUAAUACUUAACAGAUUAUAAAAACUUGGGUGCUGCUAUAUAAAUGCGCUGAAACUCCCAGGGAACCAAACAUAAGGACUUAAAGAGAGAUGUAACUAGGGAUCAUAAUCAUGAAUUUCAGCUGCUUCUCUAUCUUUGUCAGUGAGCAAAUGACCAUACAAAAUAAGGUAUUCAAUUAUUAAUUCUGUGCCCAUAUCCCGGAAUUUUGCCCAAUAUAUUUGUAAGUUUAGAUAAAUAAGGCACUAAUGCCAGGGAUAUGUAGCAUUAGUUCUGGGUUUAUAAAGGGAUAUUCACAACCUCUUGCCAUCCACAGAAUUUAUCAGCCCAAAGUAAACUAUACUCGUUUGUUAAGGGCAACCUGAAACAUGUUUAAAACUGAGGUAGACUGAAGAGUCAACUAAUUGCAGGAAUCUUUUGUUAUUUGGUUGAAAUGUUCAAACAAGUCCCACUCUGAAUUCUAUUAGAAGUCCAUCAUUGGCUUCUCUCUCUUUCUCACUGUCUUAAAUCAUGUAUUUUAUAACACUAUGAAGAAUGAAGUUCAAAAGAAUAAGCUAAAUUUAAUUAAUUAAAUUAUUUAUUUAUUUAUUUUGGGACAGAGUCUCACUCUGUCACCCAGGCCAGAGUUCAGUUGCACGAUCCUGGCUCACCGCAUCCUUCACCUCCUGGGCUCGAGAUCCUCCUGAAGCAGGGCAUUUCCCUGACCCCUUCAUGGGACUCGUGACAGGGGUGCCCCAUUUACUCAGCCCACUGCUCUCAACUCCUCAAGGGAGGGAGUGUGUAAUUGAAUAAGGCAGGAACUGGAGUACAUGAGUGCUGGAACCAGUGGCCUCUUUGGUGCCAGAAGGAGUGAACUCACCCACUCUGACCUGCUGUGUUCCACCUCUUGCAGGAGAGAGCAUGCAGGUGAGCAGGUAUAGGAGCCAGGAAGAGAGCUCUGGGGUGUUGGCAGGAGCAAACUCCAUGUGGGCCUCAUAGCAGCCCCUGGUGUUAGGGGGGGUGCCUGUGAUUCCUGAAGCCCCAGUGGGCAUAUUACAGUGCUCCUUUAGCUCUGCCAUCUUCAGACAGCUGAAGUGUUAGCAGCUCAGCAUGCCUUUUUGUAUCCACACUCACUCCUGAGCUCUUGUUUGGCAUCCAGGAAAAAUCAGCUCACAGAAACGAAUUGAAGGAUGGUAAAUGCAGAGGAUUUUAUUGCCAAGGAAAGUGGCUCUCAGCAGGAAGGGCAGCUGGGAAGGACAUGUAGCAGGAAGGUUUCUGGCUGGACUCUUCUCCAAAGUUGCACUGUCAAACUGUCUCUCUGAAAUCAAGCUGCUUCUCUCCAACGUCCAACCAUAGUCUCUGAUGCCUAGCUGCUGCUUCUCUUUUGAUGUUCAGCUGCUUCUCUUUUUUGCUAGCUGAGUCUGGGGUUUUUAUGGGCACAGGAUGGGGAACAGGGGAGGUCAUGGGUAAUUUUGUAAAAGGCAACAUUUGAGUGGGAAAACAGGAACGUAUGUUCUCACUUUGGGCUUUGGUUCCAGGCUUGAGGGUGGAGCCCUUGCCAGGGACCUGCCCUCUUUUGCCCAGAAUUUCCCUGCCUCCCUUCCCUAUCACUCCCACCCCAUCACUCCCACCUCAACAUCCUGAGUAGCUGGGAUUAUAGGCGCACACCACCACAUCUGAUUAAUAUUUAAAUUUUUUGUAGAGACAGGGUUUUGUCAUGUUGCCCAGGCUGGUCUCAAACCCUGGGCUCAAGUGAUUUGCCCACCUCAGCCUCCCAAAGUUCUGGGAUUACAGAUGUGAGCCAGUGUGCCUGGCCCUAAAUAAUAUUUAUAUGGGCAUUUUGUAAUUAUUAUUUUUUAAUAAUAUAAAUGUUUCCUUUUUAAUAUGAAUUUUUCAAGAGUUUUAAAAUUGACUGAUUAUUCAUUAAAAUUUAAUGAAGGACAGGAAUUGGCUAUUUUUCUGAAUGACAAAAAUUAGGAAAUUUUUAGAGAGAUGAUGAAUUUAUCCUAGAAUAUAUGGAAAGAGUAAAUCUUGUUAUAUAGAAAAAGCUACUUUCCAAUCCGAAGGAUCUUAGAAUAAUAAAUUUUUUUUUUCUAGUUUCCUUAUAAUUGUUUCAAAGUAAUACUUUAGACCAAAAAUUGUAUAUCUCAGUAGGUGGCCUAUAUGAUAAUUAAAAAAUUAAAAGCUAAGUUAAUUAAAUUUUUAAUUAUUUUAAUUUUUAUUAAUUUUAAUUAUCAAUCUUCAUUGAAGAAUUUUGUCCAAAAAAUGUGGACAAUAUGUGUCAUAAGGAUUAAUCAGCAUAAAAUAGUCCCCAAAGGAAAUUAAAGGACCGAUUAGAUAGUACUAAAAUAACAAUCAUACAAAGUAGAAAGUGGUGUUAUAAGAGAAAUGUAGAUAAAAUAUUGUAAGAAACUAAAGCAGGAAGAUAAUGGUUUGAGUUGUGGGAGAUCAGGGAAGAUUUUUUGGAAAAAGUAACGUUUAAGCUAGAUCUUAGAGAGACAUGACUUAAUAGAAAAGUAGGCAAAAAAAUAUGAAUAACCCUUUCAGAUUACAGGCAAUACAAAUUAUGAUAAAUAUAAAAAAAUUCUUACUUUACUAGUAAUCAAGUAAUUGAAUUAAACAAUUGGAUACCAAUUUUUCUUCAGCAGACUGGCAAAACAUAAGAUGUUAACAAGGGUUUUGAGGGUACAGGGAAGAGGGUAGGCUCAAACUAUGCUGGUAUCAAUGUAUAACCAAGAUCUCCUUUGGAAUACAAUUGUUAUAUAGUCUACAUUCUGUAAAAACUAAACACAUAUGUUUGCCUUUCCACUUUUGGAAAUACAUGGUAGAUAAUCAUGCAAGAAUGUCAAUUGCAGUAUUGUGUUGUAAUUUUUAAAAAUACUCAAAAUAUUUAUCAAUAUAUAACUACAAAUAAAAAUAGUUGGACUAUCAUGCAGACUACAAUGCCUCUAUUGUGGCAUAAUAGUUAAUAAUACAAUCUCUGAGAGCAGAAUAUCUGGAUUUGAAUAAUUUGCUCUCCCUCUAAAUGACCUUGAGCAAAGUACUUACAAUCUUUUUCUCUCUUCUGUAAAAUGGAGAUAACAGCAUUGCCAAUUUAUUAGCUUGUCAUGAUGAUUAAAUGAGAUAAUCCAUAUAUCACACCAAGUACCCACUACAUAAUAAGCAACUAAUUAAAUUUGACUAAUAUUAAUAAUUUCAUUAUUAUUCAUCUUAAUAUCAUGGCAUGACUUCUAAGGUAUAUUAUUAAAUAGAAAAAGAGAAGUUUUAAACUGAGCCAUAGUUUAGAACUUGACUUAAAGCAGACUCACAAAGCAAAUGCUCAUAUCUAGGACAGGUAAAUCUACACGUGUUUAUACACACAUUCACUGUGUUUGGGGAAAAUACACACCAAACUGGAAACACUGGUUGUCUCUGAAGAAGAGACAGGGCUUUGGCAAUAUUCAAAUUAGGCUUUAACUGUUUCUGAAAGUUUCAGUUCUCUAUAAGGAGAAGGUAUUACUUAUGUAAUUUUUAAAAAUUACAUAUUAAGUACUAAAUGACUGAAGCUUCUUAGAAUUGAUGGGGGCAGGCAUCACAUGGGCAGCAAGGCAUUCACAUAAUGGAGAAUCAUGGUCUCCUGUAGAUGUCUAGGAGUGAUAAAAUUAACUACCUUUUAGGUGGUGUAGUUUCCUGGUUGAGCUGAUAAUUAUUAAGUUAAUGAUUAGUAGGUUAUUUCUCAACACUGAAGAGAUUAUUAGUGUUUCAAAGUUUUCACUGUAAUUCAUCUGUAAAACCAUUCAACCUACCUCCAGUACACCUCAGUAAUCUGGUGACAAGAGAGUAUUCUUGCACACUUUAUUUCCUCUUCAGUGAUCUAAUGCCAAUAAUGCCAGCCUAUAGAAACAACAGCCAAUUAUAACAAAAAGCACAUUAAAAAGUCAAAUAUAGCUGAGUAAUAGACAUAAAAAUACCUUAUUAACAUUUUUGUAACACUCUCAACUGAAAUAAACAGACCACUCUCGAUUUUAGCAUCUGGUUCCAAACAAUUCUUGUUUGGGUGAUAACUUUUUAAAAACAAAUGCUGGGCAUCUUUCAUCGACUUUUCAUCAAGUAACAGCUGUUCCUUUAGAACAAAAUGUAUGCAUGUUGGAAGGGUGACUGAUGCUCACUUCUGUUUUGUUCUGUGUGAGAAAGCUUUAUGUUGGGUGCAAUUCAGAAAACAAAUGGUUUCAAAUCUUUUGAAUAGAUGCCAUAGCACAGUUUAAAUGCAGCUUCUUGUGAUUUUUAGAAUAAUUUCAGCCACAAUUUUUACAUUCAAUUUAUAACUAUACUAAGACAUUCUCCUUCAGAACAAAGGCAUUUCUGUUUUCAUGUGCUCUUGGGCAUCUUCGGGUCAUUCAUUAUAUCAAUCAUUUAUCUUCGUAAAGUGUUUGGCUAUGAACAAUUACUUACUACACCAAAACAUGAAAGAAAUAGAUAUAGCUCAUCUGCUCUUGAAUGCAUUUCUACAGAUUCCCUUAGGAUAAUUCCUGUUUCAACUUAAGCUAUUAAAUUUUUUGCUGAAUUCAAAUCACCUAAUCUGCUGAAACAUGUGGAGACAAAUAACCACAGACGUUUGCAUGAAGGUUCAGGUGUAUUUAAGGGCAGCUUAAUUAUAAGACACUAUGAAAUUCUCCUAAUUAAUUUGGAGCUAAAUAUUCUACAUCAAAUAUUUUACAAAACUUAAAGAAAUAUUUACUUUUCACAUGAUUACGAUUUUGAUACUAGGUUAAAAAUGACUUAUAUUGGCAUUUUUUAAACAGUUUAAGACAAAUAAUGUUUUUGAUACUGUUUAUUAUAACAUAUGAAAAGUCUUUAUAUUUAUGCAAAUAUACUCUAUUUUAUUGUCUGUUCAUUUCAUGUUGCAUUUGCAUGCACUCCUGAAUUACUUGUUACUAAAACAUACAGAACAGACAGAAAGUUAAAAUUGGUUAAUUUCUAUCUAAUCUGGAUAAGAUAAACACAAUGAGUGAAAUAAAUCAUUAUGUCAAAUAACAAAAACCUCAUGCAUAGAAACUUCAACAUUUCUGAAUAACAAAAAGUAUAACAUUAUGUAGGGCAAGGUGCCACUUUUGUAUCAACUAGAAAUAAGCCCUGAAUCUGAAUGAUGAAAUUUUAAUAGUAACUGUUGACCGCAGGGCAGAGUUUACUCUCUUGGUCAGAUGCUUUUGUGAAUGACACAGUGUGUCCAGAUCACUUUUCCCUAUAAUCACUUCAAAUUACUUGACUUUUUGAUCUGUUCCUUUUUUCUGUCUCUUUUUUGUCCACAACAGAUAUUCCAAAUAUCCACCGAGUUUUCAAAUACUCCAGUCCAUAAUUGGUCUUCCCAUUCCUAGCAGAAGUACUUUGUCUUCUACUUCCCAGAAUAAUGUUAAUUCUCUUAUUUUAGACUUGCUUGCUUUAAUUUGUAUUUGUUCUUGGCUUUUUUUCUUUCCAUCUCACAGGAUAAGAGGGCAUCUCUUCUUCCAUAUUCAUAAAUACGUUGCCAACAGGAAUUUGUUGUUAUUUACACUUUCUUCUCCUAGACAUUUUAAUUUUACUUACCUUCCCUGAGCACAUGGCAAAGUCAAAACACAAGCAGAAUCUUACUUAUGAAUAGAGGCAGAUUUAUUAAGCCAGGGGUAGGCAAACUAUAGCCAAUAAGCCAAAGCCAGGCUGCCACGGGUUUUUAUAAAUAAAAUUUUAUAGGAACUCAGCCACAGACAUUCCUUUACAUAUUGCCUACAGCUGCUUAAGCACUACAAAGGCAAAGUUGCAUAUUUACAACACAAAUCAUAUGGCCUGCAAGCCUAAAGUAUCUACUAUCGUGCCCUUUAUAGAAAAUGUUUAUCAGCUUUUGUUCUCUUAUCCUAAGUUAUGAGGCUUACAUUUCUGGCCACCUCAUUUGCAUUUGAGUUUCCAGUUUUGAGUUUGUUGUUUUGUAUUCUUGCUUAAAGAGCCCCAAACCCUGACCUCCAAAUUGAAUGUGCUGUAGAUCCCACAAAAUAUGGAUCCAAUCAAGCUGAUGCCAUGUCAUUAUCUGUAGCUUUUAUUCUUUGCCAUCACACACCUUCCUUGAACAGUUAGGCUUCUGCAAAAAAUCUUAAAUAAUCACUGAUAUGGGUUGGUUCUGUGUCUUCACCCAAAUCUCAUCUUGUAGCUCCCAUAAUUUCCACGUGUUAUGGGAAGGAUCCAGUGGGAGAUGACUGAAUCAUGAGGGCACGUAUGUCCCAUGCUGUUCCUGUGAUAGUGAAUGGAUCUCAGGAGAUCUGAUGGUGUUAAAAAUGGGAGUUUCUCCACACAAUCUCUUUUUUGCCUGCUGCCAUCCAUGUAAGAUGUAGCUUACUCCUUCUUGCCUUCCACCAUGAUUAUGAUGCCUCUCCAGCCAUGUGGAACUGUAAGUCCAACAAACCACUUUCUUUCGUAAAUUGCCCAGUUGCAGGUAUGUUUUUAUCAGCAGCAUGAAAAUGAACUAAUACAGUAAAUUGUUACCAGUAG
RNAcentral lists this long non-coding RNA (7693 nucleotides) under Homo sapiens (human). RNAcentral's name for it is "HSALNT0270820". The record is from RNAcentral. Lineage: Eukaryota; Metazoa; Chordata; Mammalia; Primates; Hominidae.